This 20-nucleotide transfer RNA is filed under the name Clitarchus hookeri (smooth stick-insect). Its description in RNAcentral is "partial tRNA-Leu". The record is from RNAcentral. Lineage: Eukaryota; Metazoa; Arthropoda; Insecta; Phasmatodea; Phasmatidae.
AAUUCUUUUAUUAGAAAUAA